AUGUCCCGCCUUAAUUACGGGAUCAUCUCCCUGAUCCCCAAGGUUCCGGGUGUGGCAGAUAUUAGGCAGUUCCUCCCUAUCACGAUUCUUAAUGUGAUAUUUUGGAUUCUGGCUAAAGGGUACGCCACUAGGGCAGCCUUAAUCGCUCCUCGGAUCCAUCCAAACCAGUCGGCCUUCACGAAAGGCAGAUAUAUUCUUGACGGGAUCCUCGUUCUACAUGAGAUGAUCCAUGAGGUCAAGAGCAAAACCCUUUGCGCGGUGUUCUUCAAGACCGACUUUCAUAAAGCCUAUGACACCGUCCAUUGGUCCUUCCUUCGGGAGGUGAUG
RNAcentral lists this ribosomal RNA (327 nucleotides) under Triticum aestivum (bread wheat). RNAcentral describes it as "partial small subunit ribosomal RNA". Lineage: Eukaryota; Viridiplantae; Streptophyta; Magnoliopsida; Poales; Poaceae. The record is from RNAcentral.